This is a non-coding RNA of Pelobates cultripes (western spadefoot toad), 447 nucleotides long. The record is from the annotation of a GenBank genome assembly. Lineage: Eukaryota; Metazoa; Chordata; Amphibia; Anura; Pelobatidae.
GGGGUAUUUGUAAAACUAUACAAAUUUACAGCAUAGUGCAAAUAUGUCUCAUCAGUGCAUCAGAUUCAAGUUGAGCAAACAUAUCUGUGUGUAUUAUGAAGUCAGGCAAAGUUACAAUGUAUAUGAACAUGUCAGGCAGUUAUGAUCCACCUAAUAGAGUCAUAAACAGUUGCAGGCAGCCAGCGUAUUAUAGGGUAACGUAGCUAUGUAAAUACUACCAUAACCACUGUGUAUUAAUGGCAGCCAAGUCCAGUCACAUUGUGUGUAAAGCCAUAGUAAUAAUGCAUUUUAAGUUGUCAGAUAGUUAUGGCAUAUCUGUAAUAAUUAAAAUGUUGACUGGUCUAUUUACAAAAAUUGAGAAAUAAAUUUAAUUCCAUUGCAACUCUCAGCAAAUUUCAGGUUUUAAGAUGCCUGACUUAGACAUCUAUUAAGAUGUAGAACAAAGAU